UAGAUGCUUCCUUCUAAGCAAGGCACCACAGAAGUGCAGUCACACUAACACGUGACGCACAUUCUAGGCAUUAUCACCAGCAGCUGAAAGAAUUGCUUCCUCUUUCUCAAGGAAGGUGUCUGACAGGGUGUCAUCGCACCCAGCGUUUCCCUUCCAGUCAGAGCAGCAAUUCUGUGGUUCUGGUCACAUGUCUGCAUCUCUCUUCUCCCAGCCCUGAAUGCCUCCUUGUCACUUCUAUCCCCCUCCCUCUGCCUGUGUUCUCACAAAGACGUGAGAAGUGGGAGGUUGGUUGCUUUAAUUAUCGCACAAUGCAUACGUGGAACCGAAUGUCACAAUAGAUCCCGUGAGCAGCUACGAUUGUUCCGAUAUGAAAGAAAAAAAAAAAAAGAGUGGAUUCUAGAAUCCAACUCUUGUGCUCUGGCAAAACUGCUCAUUCUUCCCCUGUAGACUCCAGUUCCUCUGAGUUUCAUUUUGUUUCAUUUUUAUCUCUGCACUUCUGGAUGUGGAAACCAGGGCCUCACUAUUUCAGUCAGCACCCCACCAGAGCCCAGCUCCAAUCUAUUGGGAUAUCUCGAAUCUUUUUGAAUCUGGCUCUUUUCCUACGGGGUAUAUACACUCUAAGUCAUAGACCAGGUCGUUUGAUGCUCAUCACACAGUAGGUGCUUUAUAAAUAUGAAAUGGCCUAAUAGAAGGAUUUCAGGGUGUUUUUCCUGCUUCAUUUCCUAACCUUGGUGGCCUGACUGUGUUCUGGAAGCAGAAUGUUGAGUUAAAUAGAAAGUGGAUACACAGCCCAGGAACUCUGGUAAGCGGUGUGAGUUAAUUAGUAAUAAAUAGGAAAAGGUGUCACAGCUAUCGUCCUCAGUGGCCUCUUGUCCUUUACAGGAGAUGGGUUCAUCGAAGCCUACAGUACUCGGUAGUGGUAGUACUAUCAACACAGGUAUGAGCUCAGAGUCAUUCCUGCGUUCCUGCAGUGUUGAUUCUGAUGAGGAGCUGUUUAAGAGCUUGCCCAAGGCUCACAUAGUUCAACACCUAGAGACACUGCAGGGGUAGGAAACACUUUCACCUCAGGAGGAUAGUCUCUGCAUGUCCCUGCUGGCUUAGUUACUCUUCUGUCUCUGUGAUAAUUCAAGGAAGGAAGCAGUUACUGUGGUCACUGGGAUUUUGACAAAAAUCUUCCUUUCACAGCCUCUCAAAAAUAUAGAUCUGAAGUUCUACCUGAAUGUCAAGUCUGGGAUCACUAAAAGCUGUCCCUCUAAGGGGUCAGGACAGACAUGAGUGUCAUAUAUGGUCUUCUGGCCUCACCUGGGACUGGUGUCACAGCACUUGGAAGAAGUCCUGUUCUUCUCCAAGCAGCUCCCUGUGUCUUUAUUGCAUCGCCAGGUGACACCCUUCAUGUGCCACUCCUCAUGUGACAUCCCUCAUCCUUUAUUGGUUUCCAAAAGAGGCUGCCUGCACUGUGAAGGUCCAGGUCAGACUUAGAAUCUUCUCUGCCAGUCUGGUUGGUCUUGUGUCAUGGAUAAGUGGACAACGUCCUAACACAGAAGAAGGGGCAGUGACAUGCAUGUCCUGGCUUUGACUACAAGGGCCCCAGUCUAAGAAGCUGAGCUCCUACCACUGAGAGAAACUGCCUUGGGGAACCCUGCAAAAAGUGGACAGUUUGCUGGAAACAUUCUUCACCCCCAGAAAUAAAUAAGAAGUCAGCUCCUGUUCAUCCUUCCAAGCUUCUCAGUCAGCUUGCUCUGUGGUACCAAAGGACUCCAGAUGCUAGUAAAAUUUCCUUUGCUGGAA
Molecule: long non-coding RNA, 1788 nt
Organism: Rattus norvegicus (Norway rat)
Lineage: Eukaryota; Metazoa; Chordata; Mammalia; Rodentia; Muridae
Source: RefSeq, a predicted model, not a curated record